GAAUUCGCCCUUAGAGUUUGAUCCUGGCUCAGGACGAACGCUGGCGGCGCGCCUAACACAUGCAAGUCGAACGAAGUUAGAGAGAGCUUGCUUUUUCUAACUUAGUGGCGAACGGGUGAGUAACGCGUGAGGAACCUGCCUCAAAGAGGGGGACAACAGUUGGAAACGACUGCUAAUACCGCAUAAGCCCACAGCUCCGCAUGGAGCAGGGGGAAAAGGAGCAAUCCGCUUUGAGAUGGCCUCGCGUCCGAUUAGCUAGUUGGUGAGGUAACGGCCCACCAAGGCGACGAUCGGUAGCCGGACUGAGAGGUUGAUCGGCCACAUUGGGACUGAGACACGGCCCAGACUCCUACGGGAGGCAGCAGUGGGGAAUAUUGCACAAUGGGGGAAACCCUGAUGCAGCGACGCCGCGUGGAGGAAGAAGGUCUUCGGAUUGUAAACUCCUGUUGUUGGGGAAGAUAAUGACGGUACCCAACAAGGAAGUGACGGCUAACUACGUGCCAGCAGCCGCGGUAAAACGUAGGUCACAAGCGUUGUCCGGAAUUACUGGGUGUAAAGGGAGCGCAGGCGGGAAGACAAGUUGGAAGUGAAAUCUAUGGGCUCAACCCAUAAACUGCUUUCAAAACUGUUUUUCUUGAGUAGUGCAGAGGUAGGCGGAAUUCCCGGUGUAGCGGUGGAAUGCGUAGAUAUCGGGAGGAACACCAGUGGCGAAGGCGGCCUACUGGGCACCAACUGACGCUGAGGCUCGAAAGUGUGGGUAGCAAACAGGAUUAGAUACCCUGGUAGUCCACACUGUAAACGAUGAUU
Molecule: ribosomal RNA, 807 nt
Filed under: uncultured bacterium
Lineage: Bacteria
Description: bacterial SSU rRNA
Rfam family: Bacterial small subunit ribosomal RNA
Source: RNAcentral